UCCCCCUCACUGUUACAGCACGACAAGC
Molecule: small RNA, 28 nt
Filed under: Bombyx mori (domestic silkworm)
Lineage: Eukaryota; Metazoa; Arthropoda; Insecta; Lepidoptera; Bombycidae
Description: ovarian small RNA-27221
Source: RNAcentral